UACGUAGGGGGCAAGCGUUGUCCGGAAUUAUUGGGCGUAAAGAGCGCGUAGGCGGUCCGAUAAGUCGGCUGUGAAAGUCAGGGGCUCAACCCUUGAAAGCCGGCCGAUACUGUCGGACUAGAGUCCGGAAGAGGCAAGUGGAAUUCCCGGUGAAGCGGUGAAAUGCGCAGAUAUCGGGAGGAACACCAAUGGCGAAGGCAGCUUGCUGGGACGGUACUGACGCUGAGGCGCGAAAGCGUGGGGAGCAAACAGG
Molecule: ribosomal RNA, 253 nt
Filed under: uncultured bacterium
Lineage: Bacteria
Description: partial 16S ribosomal RNA
Rfam family: Bacterial small subunit ribosomal RNA
Source: RNAcentral